AGCGAACGCUGGCGGCAGGCCUAACACAUGCAAGUCGAACGGAUCCUUCGGGAUUAGUGGCGGACGGGUGAGUAACACGUGGGAACGUGCCUUUUGGUUCGGAACAACUCAGGGAAACUUGAGCUAAUACCGAAUGUGCCCUUCGGGGGAAAGAUUUAUCGCCAUUAGAGCGGCCCGCGUCUGAUUAGCUAGUUGGUGAGGUAAAGGCUCACCAAGGCUACGAUCAGUAGCUGGUCUGAGAGGAUGAUCAGCCACAUUGGGACUGAGACACGGCCCAAACUCCUACGGGAGGCAGCAGUGGGGAAUCUUGCGCAAUGGGCGAAAGCCGACGCAGCCAUGCCGCGUGAAUGAUGAAGGUCUUAGGAUUGUAAAAUUCUUUCACCGGGGACGAUAAUGACGGUACCCGGAGAAGAAGCCCCGGCUAACUUCGUGCCAGCAGCCGCGGUAAUACGAAGGGGGCUAGCGUUGCUCGGAAUUACUGGGCGUAAAGGGAGCGUAGGCGGAUAGUUUAGUCAGAGGUGAAAGCCCAGGGCUCAACCUUGGAAUUGCCUUUGAUACUGGCUAUCUUGAGUAUGGGAGAGG
RNAcentral lists this ribosomal RNA (582 nucleotides) under uncultured Caulobacter sp. Its description in RNAcentral is "bacterial SSU rRNA". It matches the Rfam family "Bacterial small subunit ribosomal RNA", at positions 28 to 657 of the family's 1533-position model. The record is from RNAcentral. Lineage: Bacteria; Pseudomonadati; Pseudomonadota; Alphaproteobacteria; Caulobacterales; Caulobacteraceae.